GCUGCACGCAGACUGAGCUCUGGGCCUUCCUUAGAACAGAUCACCCUGCGAGUGCCCAUCAGAAGCACCGCUGUGGCGUGUGCAUGAGCUGGGCACAGCUUGGGCUGAGCGGGCCGAGCAGGGUUCCUGUCCAAAAGGAGAUUUCAGAGAUCAAGGCAGUCUCAGGAAGAGUGAGGCCAGCUCUUUCCAAGAGCAGAGAAGUUCCUGCAGAGAGAGCCCUGGGAACUUCGGCUUCCUCGGAGACAGCGGUCAUGUCUCAGCAAGGAGACGACUGCAAUUCCUAUUUCUGUCCUGUGAGUGGAGAGGUACGGCUGGGUUUCUUUUGCUUGGUUCUUCUUCCUUUGUCUCAUUUUUAAGGGAAGGGACGGAGCAGGAGGAGCCCUACUGGUCCUUUGUGACCUCAAUAACCGGUUGGAUUCUGCGCCCACUGCUGACAGCCAAGGCUAAUGGCAAGGACAUGGCUCAGGCGGUAUUUUCCCUUAGUGAUAAUUAGCCUCUCAGCACUCUGAUAUCCUAUCUCUGGCAACCUGGGGUGCCCAUUCCCACCACCGUUUCUUCCUUUUUCUCUUCAAAAGCAGGGCGGCGCAGUUCCCUGUGUUUGGGAACAGCAGCCAGCAGGCUGCCAGAGGUCCAACUGCGCCUUUCAGCGCACAGAGGGACGCGACGGGGACGGACCGUCCUUACUGCCAUGCGAAAGGACGGAGCCUGCGCGUCCACAGAAUGGUGCGGGGCAACGGGGAAAACGGAAAGCCUCCGCAGAAGCUGAUGCAAGCGGCCUUCCAGCAAAGCGCAGCCAUGCGGAAGGCCAGGAGAGGAGCGCAGAGUGUGGCACAACACCCAAGAGAGCAGUGGCGACCAGCUUGGAUGUGCCGGAGGACAGCACGGACAUUCAGGGUUUGCUCUCUUGGAUCAGUGGUGAGUUUAGGGGCUGCAGAGCCGCAGGUGUGUGUUUGUACAGAGGGGGUGUGGCAAGGCUGUCCUCACCAUUUUGGGGGAUGUUCUUGCAUUCUCAGAUGUGGCAAGAGCUGUUGAGGUCCCCCACGAGCACCGCAGCAGCCCUGCCCCA
Gallus gallus (chicken) is the source of this 1066-nucleotide RNA transcript. It is a transcript of the gene named proteoglycan 4-like, with no coding region annotated. The transcript is spliced from 5 exons. The record is from RefSeq and is a predicted model, not a curated record. Lineage: Eukaryota; Metazoa; Chordata; Aves; Galliformes; Phasianidae.